RNAcentral lists this ribosomal RNA (1414 nucleotides) under Salmonella enterica subsp. enterica. RNAcentral's name for it is "bacterial LSU rRNA". It matches the Rfam family "Bacterial large subunit ribosomal RNA", at positions 1 to 1345 of the family's 2925-position model. Lineage: Bacteria; Pseudomonadati; Pseudomonadota; Gammaproteobacteria; Enterobacterales; Enterobacteriaceae. The record is from RNAcentral.
GGGUUGUGAGGUUAAGCGACUAAGCGUACACGGUGGAUGCCCUGGCAGUCAGAGGCGAUGAAGGGCGUGCUAAUCUGCGAUAAGCGCCGGUAAGGUGAUAUGAACCGUUAUAACCGGCGAUACCCGAAUGGGGAAACCCAGUGUGUUUCGACACACUAUCAUUAACUGAAUCCAUAGGUUAAUGAGGCGAACCGGGGGAACUGAAACAUCUAAGUACCCCGAGGAAAAGAAAUCAACCGAGAUUCCCCCAGUAGCGGCGAGCGAACGGGGAGGAGCCCAGAGCCUGAAUCAGCAUAUGUGUUAGUGGAAGCGUCUGGAAAGGCGCGCGAUACAGGGUGACAGCCCCGUACACAAAAGCGCAUGUGCUGUGAGCUCGAUGAGUAGGGCGGGACACGUGGUAUCCUGUCUGAAUAUGGGGGGACCAUCCUCCAAGGCUAAAUACUCCUGACUGACCGAUAGUGAACCAGUACCGUGAGGGAAAGGCGAAAAGAACCCCGGCGAGGGGAGUGAAAAAGAACCUGAAACCGUGUACGUACAAGCAGUGGGAGCCCCACCACUAAGCCAGUGGUGAACUCCACAUACGCAUCCUUUGCUGAGGAUACGGUUAACGGAGCGAAAGCGACGUUCAACCUCAAAAGAAGCAGAGGGGGCUUAGUGGUGGGGUGACUGCGUACCUUUUGUAUAAUGGGUCAGCGACUUAUAUUCUGUAGCAAGGUUAACCGAAUAGGGGAGCCGGAGGGAAACCGAGUCUUAAUUGGGCGUUAAGUUGCAGGGUAUAGACCCGAAACCCGGUGAUCUAGCCAUGGGCAGGUUGAAGGUUGGGUAACACUAACUGGAGGACCGAACCGACUAAUGUUGAAAAAUUAGCGGAUGACCUGUGGCUGGGGGUGAAAGGCCAAUCAAACCGGGAGAUAGCUGGUUCUCCCCGAAAGCUAUUUAGGUAGCGCCUCGUGAAUUCAUCUCCGGGGGUAGAGCACUGUUUCGGCUAGGGGGCCAUCCCGGCUUACCAACCCGAUGCAAACUGCGAAUACCGGAGAAUGUUAUCACGGGAGACACACGGCGGGUGCUAACGUCCGUCGUGAAGAGGGAAACAACCCAGACCGCCAGCUAAGGUCCCAAAGUCAUGGUUAAGUGGGAAACGAUGUGGGAAGGCCCAGACAGCCAGGAUGUUGGCUUAGAAGCAGCCAUCAUUUAAAGAAAGCGUAAUAGCUCACUGGUCGAGUCGGCCUGCGCGGAAGAUGUAACGGGGCUAAACCAUGCACCGAAGCUGCGGCAGCGACACUAUGUGUUGUUGGGUAGGGGAGCGUUCUGUAAGCCUGCGAAGGUGGCCUGUGAGGGUUGCUGGAGGUAUCAGAAGUGCGAAUGCUGACAUAAGUAACGAUAAAGCGGGUGAAAAGCCCGCUCGCCGGAAGAC